Molecule: long non-coding RNA, 2109 nt
Filed under: Nicotiana benthamiana
Lineage: Eukaryota; Viridiplantae; Streptophyta; Magnoliopsida; Solanales; Solanaceae
Description: long non-coding RNA (NBEN_LNC008351)
Source: RNAcentral
CCCCCCUAUUUUUUUGUUUUUGUCAAUUAAUUGGUCAACUGAACCCAAAAUAUCCAUCAGUCGAUUGUUCUUAUUAAGAAUAGUCGAUUAAUGGCAGUUCGAGUUCACUUAUGCUUCGUUAAGGCCUAGUCAGGUUCCGAGUGGAUUCCAUUUGGAGCGAAAAUAUGUAAUUUUUUCUUGUUUCAUCUCAUUUGUUUUUCACUAUUUUCUUUUGUCCCCUUCUCUUGAUUUUCCUUCAUGACUAAUAUUCUUUUUUAGUUACAUGAUUUAGAGUUCUAGCAUUUUAGGAUUAUUUGUUGACUUUUGUGCUUAAUCAUCGUUAUUAUCCAAUGGAUUAGGGUUAAAGUUAUGCAUUUGCCAUCAGAGUCAUUAGAUGUCAAAUUUUGGAUAAUGUUAAUCUAAUCGAUUUAGGUUGUGUUUAGUCGAAUUCGUUUGGAAAUGAAUAUGCUAAUCUCAUUGUAGUGUGAUCACUUGUUAAUGGCAAUGUGUAAUUGGAUUCAAAAGGUUUGAACCUCAGGGAUGGUUUAUUCAAUAAUUAUUGUUAAUAUUGUUUUCAAUUAUUAAAUGUUGUGUCAUUUCUGAUCUCUCAUAGUGAUAAAAUUAUUUAAGUUUAGAGUUAAUUCAAGAGUUAGUCGCCUGAUUGUUUGGUACAUUCAAUUAAUCAAGUUGUGCCAGUCUUGGCUUUUAUUUGUUAAUACUAAUUCAUAGGCAAUUGGAAGUUUGGGGGGUUCAAUGGUUAAAGGAUAAUUUAAGGAGUUUAUCUGAGGGGUGGGUAAAGUUGAUAGGGUAAAAGAACCUACUAGAAGGAUCUAGAAUAAAGGGCAGCUGGCCUCAUUUGGCCAGCACAAGUGCUGAAAUCAAUUAGAGGUCGACAGUUGUCCAAAAUAUGUUAGAAAGAUUCCUUUUGUAGGCUGGAAUAAUUCUCAUCUUUCUGUUUUUAGGCACAUGAUUGAGAGGCCUAUAAAAGGGGCCCUUUCCUUCACUUUAGGAUCACAUUUUCACAUAUCAAUUUUUGCACAAAAGAUUCUGUAUUGUUAGAUAAAACCCUUUCUCAUUUUCUCAAAAAGACUAGAAGAAAUCCUCUAAAAUUUCUAGAACUCAAAAAGGGUUGAAACAUGGCUAGUUUCUUGAAGCUUUGAUUUUGAUUAUUACUGAUGUUCCUGCCUGUUAGCUUGCUAUCGAUUGUUCAUCUUGGAUGAGUUUAGGACUAUACUUUUCUUUGCUGUUGUAUCCAAGUACACCACACAAGCCCUGAAAAAUUCCAAAAAAAUGAAGAAUGAACUAUUUGGUUUGAAGUUGGAAACUCCAGGAUUUUUAUGUUAAUGUCCUCUUUGUUCCUUUAUUUGGCUUAUAGUUUCUUUUAUCUAUUUAGAUCUACUUAGAGCCAAUACUUUAUAUCAUUCAUUCAUAAUAUCUUGGUUGGAAAAUAGAAUUGGUUUCGUGUUUCAUGCGGGGUAAAAUAAUUUUGCAAUAGUGGAGAUAUGUAAUAUUUAAGGACUGUGGUAGAACUAGAUGGUGUGUUAAAUAUAUAGGUUGAUGUGAUACUUUUGAUUAAGUCAUGUUAAGUGUUAAUAUUAUUGGUAGGUUAAUAUAUGAUGAGUUCUUAUUAGUAUUCAGUAGGCGCGGAAUCAUUUUAUGCUUUGGUUAAGAUUAGUUUGUAUAUGUAAAUUGGAUAUCCUGUUAAUAUUGAUAACAAAGCCAUUAAAGGUUAGCUUGUAAUUUGGACAUCCAUGUACCUCUAAUGUUUGAAACUGUUGUACAACUUUUUCAUAAGUGAGUUAGGAAGGGAUUAAGCCUAAAAGGGCCUUAAUCUUGAAGGUCCUCUUUUGUUAGAGGUUAUUGGGCCAACCAUGGCCUAUAUUAGGUGGUCCACAUGGAAUUGUAUUUAGAAAUGUAUUUUAUUGUGGCCUUUGGGGCUCGAUCGCGAUCCAUAUUAGGUUCAUCAACUUCAACUUUGUAUGUUUCUAUAUGCUGAACAAUAGAAAUGAUUUUCUUUACUAGAAAUUCAUUUUGAAAGGUCUAGGCUAGACAUUCGCCAAAUCAAGCCAGCCAAAUCAGUUAGGUUGAUCUUCCCUUUUAGCUAGUUUAAGCCCAAUCCCAUUAGCGCCA